RNAcentral lists this unclassified non-coding RNA (243 nucleotides) under rhizosphere metagenome. RNAcentral describes it as "partial ribosomal RNA internal transcribed spacer region". The record is from RNAcentral.
GUAGGUGAACCUGCGGAAGGAUCAUUACCAAUUUUUUAAUCUAAAAAAAUUAUACUCUCAACCCAUGUGCACAAUGAUGUUGUCUUGUUUUUGGGGUGACCUUGUAUAGUGCUCGUCUUUUCGAGCAAUGUUAUUAUGUGUUCACCCCAAACAUUUUGUUGAACCCUUUUUUAUUUUUGUUGGCAUCUUGUCUUGAUUUUUAAUAAUAAAGGACAACUUUUAACGGUGGAUCUCUUGGCUCGU